Molecule: ribosomal RNA, 257 nt
Filed under: uncultured bacterium
Lineage: Bacteria
Description: partial 16S ribosomal RNA
Rfam family: Bacterial small subunit ribosomal RNA
Source: RNAcentral
UACGGGGGGGCAAGCGUUGUUCGGAAUUACUGGGCGUAAAGGGCUCGUAGGUGGCCAACUAAGUCAGACGUGAAAUCCCUCAGCUUAACUGGGGAAGCUGCCGUUCUGAUAACUGGAUGGCUUGAGUUUGGGAGAGGGAUGCGGAAUUCCAGGUGUAGCGGUGAAAUGCGCAGAUAUCAGGAGGAACACCGGUGGCGAAGGCGGGUUGCUGGGCUGACACUGACGCUGAGGAGCGGAAAGCCAGGGGAGCAAACGGG